This is a long non-coding RNA of Spinacia oleracea (spinach), 872 nucleotides long. RefSeq lists it as uncharacterized. The record is from RefSeq and is a predicted model, not a curated record. Lineage: Eukaryota; Viridiplantae; Streptophyta; Magnoliopsida; Caryophyllales; Amaranthaceae. The transcript has 2 exons.
GCAUAAAAAUCAAGAAGAUAUGGGUGGAGAGGGAUAUUAUUGAAGAAAGGGCCUAAAAAUAUGGGCAACUCAGAAUCUCCCAUUUACUACAUGUCUAAAUGUAUUUCCAUUGGCUAUAUAUAGAGGGAGAUGCAAGGCAUUGAAGGGUAUCCAUCCCAAAUAGCUAAGGGCAGUUUGAAGAGGUGUCCUAGAAAAGGAGGGCCUUACAUGAAGAGUUAAGAGUCAUGGUUUAGUAGCCAAGGAUGACUUGCCUGCUUCAUUUUGUGAAGGUUUAAUUAUUAUCAAGCUAAUUACCAUGCAAUUAUGCUGGUUAAUUAGAGCUUUCGAAAAGUCUGCCGCUCUGUUUGUUUCUCUAUAGAUAUAUUUGAUUUCCCAACUAUCAAAAAAAGAAGGAGGCUUUUGAUAUUUGCAAUGAUGUUGUGAAGCUUCCAUGGAAUAGACCUAAUUCCUUUGACAGAGUUGAUAACGAGGAGAUUGUCACCUUCAAUGAGUAGUCUUCUAAUGUUGAGAUGUUUGGCUUCCUGAAGACUUUUGUGGAGAGUCGUGACUUCAGCCACGAGAGCUUGACAGUUGUUGAGGUUGAAAGUGCAAGAAGAGAACACUUGUCGAUCACUGUCUCGGACAAUGAUUCAUGCUGCUGCUGAAGAUGGUUUUACAAAUGACUUGCUAAGGAGGCUUAUGUGUACUGUUUUAGCUUGGAAUGAAAUUUUAGAACAUUACUAAUAUCCAUUAGUACUCAUAUUCUCAUAAUAUCCAUUAGUACGGAGUACUUGUAUUAUUGACUAAUCACUAUGAUAAGUUGUACUUGUACUAUGAUAAUCACUACUCAUAUAGCUAUCCUUCUCAAGGCUUAGUCCAUUGGGCUUGAUCCA